CUUCUGCCGAUGUUGCCUU
Molecule: non-coding RNA, 19 nt
Filed under: Arabidopsis thaliana (thale cress)
Lineage: Eukaryota; Viridiplantae; Streptophyta; Magnoliopsida; Brassicales; Brassicaceae
Source: RNAcentral